This 206-nucleotide unclassified non-coding RNA is filed under the name Hevea brasiliensis (rubber tree). The record is from RNAcentral. Lineage: Eukaryota; Viridiplantae; Streptophyta; Magnoliopsida; Malpighiales; Euphorbiaceae.
AGGACCCCAUGACUUAGACCACAAAGCAUUACGAGCUAUAUGGAAUGAAAUUGCAGCGAUGGGUAAGUCAAUCGAAGCACGAAGCUGGAACCGAGCCGGACCAGUAGAGCGCCAGUCAGGAAAACCAGGUCCGAUGGGUAAACCGGCGGAGAGAACAGCUUUUAAGUCAGGUGGAAAAGCAAACCCAAACUCUGCUUCAGCUCUAG